Molecule: ribosomal RNA, 288 nt
Filed under: uncultured bacterium
Lineage: Bacteria
Description: partial 16S ribosomal RNA
Rfam family: Bacterial small subunit ribosomal RNA
Source: RNAcentral
UUUAGCCUACGGGACGCAGCAGUGGGGGAUAUUGCACAAUGGGGGGAACCCUGAUGCAGCGACGCCGCGUGGGUGAAGAAGUAUUUCGGUAUGUAAAGCCCUAUCGGCAGGGAAGAAUUUAGACGGUACCUGACUAAGAAGCCCCGGCUAACUACGUGCCAGCAGCCGCGGUAAUACGUAGGGGGCAAGCGUUAUCCGGAUUUACUGGGUGUAAAGGGAGCGUAGACGGCAGUGCAAGUCCGGAGUGAAAGCCCGGGGCUCAACCCUGGGACUGCUCUGGAAACUGUA